UGUUGGAUCGCGCGCUUGCUGUCCAACGAAAUAUUUGAAUUCUCAAAUAAAUUACAAAAAUCAUAAUAAUAUACAAUUUUAGUAACAGUCAUAUAAUAAACAAAUUUUGUAUGGUACUAAACAAAUUUCUAUAGUAGCUAAAAAUACACCAAUAAAACUUCACCGGAAGUCACAAUACGUAAACAACAUUGCCAAAAGUUAUGUGUGUCACCGGCUAUCCAAAAUGACAAAUAUCAAGGAUAGUGAGCAUUAACAUCUGCAAAACAUUGAAGACGUUGACUACAAAUACUAAAAGGAAUUACAAAGAGUAUUUAAAAACAGUUGCCGAAACGUAAAAAUAGUGUUUUUAUUGAAAAAUCGUCCCAAGUGACACAUGGGUUCCACUGCGCAUGUCAGUACAUUUCAUUCAUAAAAUUCAAGCAAGGUGCGUGGAUUUACUACGAGAUUUACUACGAUCUACUACAGUUGCUACAAUUGGAUCAUCACAAAAAUACAAGACAUUCAGUGGAUUAUUACUAUGAACUGAUACACCAGAAGGUUCACCAUUAUGACCAUCAGCACGAGGGCAGUAGAUACCAGACAGACAUAUAUAUAUAUACCAAAUGUGGAAAAUUACUGAACAUUACGAACAAUGUGGAACAUGGCUAAGAACCAGAGGUUUUCCGAAGGAAAAUUUAGUUACCAUGCAAACAGUACCAAAAUAUUUAAAUAUAAGUUUAAAAAUACACCCAAAAAUAACUUUUAAUUCUCGAAAGCUUUGACUAUAUCUAAUAUAAAUAACUUAUAAACUUUUCAUGAAUUUCAAAGAUAAAUUUUCAGUCUAAGUAACUUUAAAUAACUUUUUAUCUUAACCUUAAAUUACUUUUGAUGUUAACAACUCUAAUAAACAAUACCUUAAAUUUCCAUUAAAAAUAUAAAAUUA
Molecule: long non-coding RNA, 922 nt
Organism: Mytilus californianus (California mussel)
Lineage: Eukaryota; Metazoa; Mollusca; Bivalvia; Mytilida; Mytilidae
Exons: 2
Source: RefSeq, a predicted model, not a curated record